Molecule: long non-coding RNA, 1168 nt
Organism: Zingiber officinale
Lineage: Eukaryota; Viridiplantae; Streptophyta; Magnoliopsida; Zingiberales; Zingiberaceae
Exons: 3
Source: RefSeq, a predicted model, not a curated record
GCAAGCUCAAUCAAACUUGUUAGAUCAUAAGACAACUUAACUUUGGACCCUUUGACAUAAUCAAAACUCGGGUUCAAUCGUUUGGUGCUUCCUGCACCAACACUUUGCCUAUGAAUCUUUAAGUUUAUUAACCUGAUCUUUCAAAUUGGAAUUCUAUUCCUCAAGUUGUUGGACUUGAGUUGUGGUUCCACCAUGAACCUAAUCGAUUAUGUAAAAUACCGGAAAUAGGCGAAUAUGAAUAAGGGAAUUUUCCAAAAUUUUUGGACAUUUUUCGGGGAUUUUUCGGAGUUCGUACGGACGAGUUAACGGGGAUAAAAAUGGGGCCCGGAAAAGCCUGUUUAGUCUACCUCGUUUAAGCGAGGAAAUGUUUAUAUUUACAUUUCCUUUUCUUUUGUUUCUUUUUAUUUCCUUAUUUCCUCUUCUUAUUCCUCACCUCGCCGAACCCAAGCCAUCCCCGCAACUCUUCCCUUCUUCUUCCCGACGCCGUGCCCUAACCGUCGGUCCGGCGGUUUCUUCCUCCCCGGAGUCUGCCCAAGCGCCGGCGAGCGCGAGCCACUGCUGGUCAAGCCGUCGGCUGUGCCCUAGUCUCCUUGUCGACGGCGCCGACACCCACAGAAGAUUUCCUCUUCUCUGCCGACGCCGAAACCAAUUCUCCUUCCCUUCCUGCGACGCCGACGCCACUGCCGAUCCACCGCAGGUGCGUCUGUGCCCUAGUGUUUCCACCGACGCCGAGCAGUGCCGGCCAUCUCUCCUCUUCCUCCAUUUCGAGAUUUUUUUUCCAGCCGAUUCUUCUCGGACGCCCUCUGCCCUAGAUUUGGGCCACAGCCGACCAAGCUCCUUGCCCUGAAUCUGCCGAGCCUCACUUUCAUCUCUUCUCCUCUGCCCUAGUUUUCCUGGUGUCGUUGUCUUGGUACCACACUGCCGCCGGCCAUCAGGAUCAGCCGAGUUCUGUGUGAUUUUGGAGGUCACGGAUUGGUGUGGUUUGGUUGGGAAGGGACUGCUGAUACAGAGUUGAGAUUUAGUAACUUUGUGAUCCCCAGCAGCGGCUCUGAUCUUGUUUCAGCAACCAACGUCUUUGAUUUUGGAUCAACAGUGAUACAUACGAAUUGAGGACUUUGACGCGAGACGAGUAUCUCGGAGUCAGAUUGGACCUUUCUAUUUUCGGAGG